This 424-nucleotide ribosomal RNA is filed under the name uncultured bacterium. RNAcentral describes it as "bacterial SSU rRNA". It matches the Rfam family "Bacterial small subunit ribosomal RNA", at positions 917 to 1344 of the family's 1533-position model. The record is from RNAcentral.
GGGCCCGCACAAGCGGUGGAGCAUGUGGUUUAAUUCGAUGCAACGCGAAGAACCUUACCAGGACUUGACAUACUACGAAUUCUUCUGAGAAGAAGAAGUGCCUUCGGGAAUGUAGAUACAGGUGGUGCAUGGCUGUCGUCAGCUCGUGUCGUGAGAUGUUGGGUUAAGUCCCGCAACGAGCGCAACCCUUAUUUUUAGUUACUAAUUCGUUAGGUUCUCUAGAAAGACUGCCGGUGACAAACCGGAGGAAGGUGAGGAUGACGUCAAGUCAGCAUGCCCCUUAUGUCCUGGGCUACACACGUGCUACAAUGGUUAAAGACAAAGAGUCGCGAGCUCGCGAGAGUCAGCUAAUCUCAUAAACUUAGCCUAAGUUCAGAUUGUAGGCUGCAACUCGCCUACAUGAAGUUGGAAUCGCUAGUAAUCG